This 322-nucleotide ribosomal RNA is filed under the name uncultured eukaryote. RNAcentral's name for it is "partial 18S ribosomal RNA". It matches the Rfam family "Eukaryotic small subunit ribosomal RNA", at positions 1470 to 1796 of the family's 1831-position model. The record is from RNAcentral.
CCCUUAGAUGUUCUGGGCCGCACGCGUGCUACACUGAGUGGAUCAGCGGGUCAGGUUGCGCGAAAGUGUUUCCUAAUCUUUAAAUCCGCUCGUGAUGAGGAUUGACGGUUGCAAUUUUCCGUCAUGAACGAGGAAUACCUUGUAAGCGCGGGUCAUCAUCCCGCGCUGAAUACGUCCCUGCCCUUUGUACACACCGCCCGUCGCUCCUACCGAUUGAGUGGUCCGGUGAGGCUUUGGGAUCUGAGCGGAAAGAGCGUUUCGCUGUUUCUGCCCGGAAAACUCAGUCGAACCUUAUCAUUUAGAGGAAGGAGAAGUCGUAACA